This is a long non-coding RNA of Esox lucius (northern pike), 4772 nucleotides long. Lineage: Eukaryota; Metazoa; Chordata; Actinopteri; Esociformes; Esocidae. The record is from Ensembl.
CGGCGAAUUGUGUGAUUUCCAUGGCAUAGCAACAGUAACAAAUGUGUACACCCAAAGUGUAUUUUUAAUACAUCCAAAGUGUAUUAAAAAAAACAUUAUGAUCAAUAUUAUUGUGUAUGCGGCAGAGCAAUUCCCGAAUCUUCACGACUGCUUGACAGAAGAGGUAAGUAGAUAAGAAUCAGGAGCAUUAACAUUUACGCCCUAGUGUCUGGAGGACAGAACGACAAAAGCUGGGAAACCCCACUGAAGAAACCGGUAGUGCUAUAUAUAUAUAUAUGCUGUUCGUUUAUGUUUCUUUAUCUGUUAGUCGCAGCUUUUAGUUUUCACAGGUUACUCGCGGAGAUCGAAUUAGGCAAUAAUUGUACAGUGGAUCAUCUGACUCCAUUACGAAUCAUUAUCUUAUAUCAAACUCUUUUACAAGAAUUCAUGUGGAAUUUUAAAUGAUUUCGAGGAUCUCUGUGGACAUCAGAUACGUUGGAAUCUUGUUGUGGAUCCUCUGACCUGAUGAGUCUUAUUGUUUCUUCUGACAACUUAUAUUUAAGACAGAGAGAUCAAGCUCGUCAUUAACACCGACGUGUACAUUCGGUGUUUCCUGAAAUCUGCCGCUAUGCAGCUGGAAGCACAGAAAGUUGUAUGUGGCCAGAGCUUGCUGUCCAGUUCCCUCAGAGUGUAUCUGAACAACAAGAACCGACUGCAGCCCAUCAUCGGUCUGAGCUGCAUGACAGAGUGUGUUAAGCUCAGUGGAGGCUCUGAGGCGGUGUACUUGUGUGAUGUGUGUAUGUGUCGUCUCGGUAAGGCCGACGUCCGGAGCCACAUCAUGGGGAGUCUCCACCGAUACAACUACAUCAAAAUCCAUCACCCUCACUUUGUGUCUGAGUGGAAGCAGAGCACUGAGCUGUCCAAGAUGGCUCGGCCUCUUAUGGAGAUGGCUCAAAUACUGGAGAACAAGGAAGGAACCGGGGACGUGCAGGUGCUGAGGUUGGAUGCUGCUAUGUUUGAGGAGGUCACAGCCCACAGUGAGAGUGAUGUUCUCAUCCUGUUGCGUGCUAUCAAGACCGAACAAAAGCGGACGGUGACCCAGGGCCAAUCGGAGGAGGCUUUAGCCGGUUCUGAGUGUUCACUCGUCCCGUCACAGAGAACUGUGAUAUCCCCCGGGAGGCUCCCGGUCCAGCUGGAGAAGGCUGCUGUCCAAAUUGACAGCCAGAGGGGAGGGUUUGUCCACAGAAGCAACCCCCUGCUUGGUGCUUCAGUAAAGCGUCCUGCAUCAGCCUUACCAUGGCCGCACGACAACGGUCUUUCCCUGAUCCAUGAUGACGUCACAGACGGAGGUCAGGUGUUACCGGGCGGGUCUGUGGGGGAGGGGUUUGGACAAGACGGAGUUCCUGCGAAGCUUAUUCGUUGUGAGCCGGUGUUCAAGGUGAGUCUGCCUUUGACUGAUGGCCCCCUGCUGCUGGAGAGGAAUUCCUUUAGCCUGGAACCCUCCCCCGCCUCCCCCGCCUCCCCCAUACACUCACCCGUUCACUCAACCAGCGUAGGUGCCUCGCCCCAGCCCCCUUCCACAUCCUUGCAUUCAGUUGGUCAGCCAAGAAACAGAGCUGCAACGGGACCUGGAAACACACAGAUAGUUGAAUAUAAACGCACUGUCAAUGCCAGAGUCGACACAGCCAGACACAAUCAACAGCUGACUAGGGGAGAGGAACAGAGGGCAACUGACCACGGCCUGUACAUCGGGAGAGAUCAGGACAGAGCUGACCGUCUGUUUUCAAAGAAUACCAGAUUCACCGAUACAAAGUUCGGUGUCCGCGUGAUACAGGACCACAGACUGCGCAGUACUGACCCUGGUGCUGGAGAUACGAUCGCUGACUUAGUGUCUGCUGCCCAACCGAUUUUCCUUACUACUGGUCAUCACUCGGGUUGUGUGGAAGAGGAGAGCUUGACCAACAGUCCUCCAAUGGAUGAAGAACAGGAGGAAGUGAAAGGGAAUAUUUGUCAUUCUGCUAGGGGACAGAGGCUUGCAGAGGACCACAGGACAACAGACUGUCUGUAUUCUACUGGAGAGAGGAUAGCUGACAGUGGGUAUUCCACAGGAAGCAAGUCAAUUGACAGAAUGUACCAAACAGUAGAAAGAUCAACUGACAGUCAGUUCUUUAUAGCAGAAGCGACGUCUGAUCGUGGGUACUCAACUGGAGUGGCGCUUACUGAACGGGGGUACUCAGGAGUGGGGCUAACUGAACGGGGGUACUCUACAGGAGUGGGCCUAACUGAACGGGGGUACUCAGGAGUGGGGCUAACUGAACGUGGGUACUCUUCAGGAGAGGGGCUAACUGAACGGGGGUACUCAGGAGUGGGGCUAACUGAACGGGGGUACUCAGGAGUGGGGCUAACUGAACGGGGGUACUCUUCAGGAGAGGGGCUAACUGAACGGGGGUACUCUUCAGGAGAGGGGCUAACUGAACGGGGGUACUCAGGAGUGGGGCUAACUGAACGUGGGUACUCUUCAGGAGAGGGGCUAACUGAAUGGGGGUACUCUUCAAGAGAGGGGCUAACUGAACGGGGGUACUCUUCAGGAGUGGGGCUAACUGACUGUGAGGUUUUAGAGGAAGAAAAGGGUUUCAGAGAUGAAAUGCAGAAAGGAUGUGGACUUAUUGUAGAGGUCAUGGUGGGGAACCAUAGACGGGGAAGAAAAAGUGAAAAGAAAAAAAGAAAGAGGGAGAAAUCGAACUUUUACAGAAAACAGUACUUUAAAUUGCAGCCUCCAAAACUGCACCAGGCACAGGGUUUCACAGGAGCUCAUAACGGUGCCUCAGGGCUUUGCAUGGUUGACACAGUAGAUCUCCAACAUGGCAUAGCCACCUAUAGAGACCAGACAGAGCCAGUCUACCACAGAGCAGACAUGAGCAGUCAUAAUGAUGUCAUAAGUAGACCUAUGAGUGACCUAGCAGCAAUGUCACAGGUACACUUGGAGUGCAGAAGAUCCUGGCACUAUGAAGGCACACAGCUGACCGCUGAUACUUACAGAACCGGGCCAUGUGAGUAUGAGACCCACCCUAAUCACUCUAACCCUGACCGGUUCAGACCCGAGCCCCUCCGGUACCCGCAUCAUGCUCUGGCCCCAGGGACUAGACCCCAUCUUGACUCUGGUCCUUUCCCCGUGAAGAUUGGGGGCGUUCAGACACCAGGUUAUGAUGGGUUUCCCCGGGCCCUGUCUGUGACGGCUUCUUCACCCCGCCACCCUUGGCCCUGUGAAGUGGAAGGUUAUGGCCCGGCCCCGUCUGACCCAUACCCGCUCCCGAGCCAUGAUCGUUACAGAGAGGUGGCCCGGGGCCACGGGCCUGCCACGUUUCAGUGGACUUUUUCAGCACCACCCCGGUUCUAGCUACCACACGUGUUUUGUAUUUCAUUUACACUAGUCGUUCUCCGACCACUCCUCAGGACGCCCAGAUGUCUCGCAAUUCCUUUUUAACGCUGAACUAGGGACUAGUUGAAAAAUGCAAACUGGUCAAAACUGUAACAUUUGCUGAACAUUUACAUUGCUGUGCAAUGUGCAUGAAAAGUAAAUGAUGAUAAUUAACUAGCUAACCUGAAUUAUAUAGCUGAUAAUGAGUUUACAGAGGUGGCCUGCAGUACGUCAAAUACGUGGAAUGGCUGGGGUGCCCAGGAAACGUUUGAAAACCACUCCUUAAGUUUCACUUUAUGUUGGUUAAAAUGGGCAGGUGUUUUGUGUGUUUGUUUUAUACACUGGAUUUCACCCUGUAAAUGUGAUUUGGAUUUCAUGCCUUCUUGAUUCUUUUAGCUUUUCUGUGUGGGAACGUAUUUUUGUAUGCCGAAUGAAGAUGGAGUUAUAAAAAAAGCAUUGAAUAGUGCCUCAGUAUUUGUCUGUUGUUAAGCCUAUGUGAGCACAUUCUUAGUUUGACAUGCUGUUUAAAGAAUAUGAUACAGAAUAUGCUACGGAGCUGAUCUAUGUUGAAAUUCAGCAAUUUUGCUAAAAUGUUAAAAGGUAAUUGAGGAGAAAUGUUAUUGGGUCUAUUCUAUAGGUUGAAUAUUGAUCUUUCUUGAAGUCCUGAGGGAAGCUUCACCAUGUACAUACAUUUUUAAUUUGGAUCAGCUGAGGAAUCAGCUUGAGGUUCAGUGUGUUGAACAUGUUAUGGACAACACAGGUUUUUUAACUUUCAUUUUCUUACCAAGUAACUUGUCUAUGAGGUUAUAUUAUAUUCAGCAAACAUCCAUGUUGAGCAAUUUCAUAUGGUUAAUUUGCUCAUGUGAAGAUUUUUUCUUUGUAAUUUACAAGUUCCGCACCACCCUGUAAAGUGAUUUGAGGAUUUAUUCUUGUUUGUUUUUUUGUCACUUGUGUGUUGUCACUUGGCCUGUUCUCAAUUGUUCUCCUUACCUCGCCUCCUGAAAACCAGUUUGUAGAGAAGGGCAGGACAUAUGACUUCUCAGCCAGAUGGGGUGCAGAGGCUAUUGUUAAAUAGCAGUUGACCAAACUAAAGCUUCUCACCGCCCAAUAUAUGUUUGUGAAGAACACACUGAAUUGAAGUAAAAUUUUCUAGCAGUUCCUAAUAAAGACUUGAAUAACACCUUUCAUGUAGUAAAUUGUUUUUUAUUUUACUUCAUUCAGUUUCAGGUAAUGUAUUGAAGCUUCUCAUUUCAUUGUCUACCUUUGUGUUGCUGCUGCAUUUGAGCCUAUUUGCUAAUGAAGUCAGUAUUAUCAUUGUCUUGCUUCCUCUAAUUCAAUGAUUCUCUACUGGAUUUAUAUAAACAAGCCACCUUUC